Molecule: small nucleolar RNA, 91 nt
Filed under: Eucalyptus grandis
Lineage: Eukaryota; Viridiplantae; Streptophyta; Magnoliopsida; Myrtales; Myrtaceae
Description: Small nucleolar RNA snoR31
Rfam family: Small nucleolar RNA snoR31
Source: Rfam by way of RNAcentral
AAGAUGGGGAUGAAGCAAAAAUAUAGAUAAUCCAACACUUGAUCUGAGAUGUCUAUCGAGUGAUGCUAAACUGAAUAGCUUCUGAAUCCGU